CAGCACCAAUGACGGAUGCCCUAACCAACUGGACCAGCACCAAUGACGAAUGCCCUAACCAACUGGACAAGCACCAAUGACGAAUGCCCUAACCAACUGGAUAGGUGUAAUCAAUAGUUGAGCCAGUAAAGGGCGCUUCACUUUUCUUGGGUAGUGGAAUUAACUUUUCUUCCCUCCAGGCCUGAGGUCACACACUUUCUUGUAUACUGAGAUUGAAGAUAUGUCAAAUAGGAGUAGCAAUAUCAUCCUCUAUUAUCCUCAGUCAUUUUCCAUCCAAGUUGUCAGAACCAGGUGACUUGUCAUUGUUGAUAGACAACAAAUAUUUGUUCACCUUUUCCACACACACAUACUGGAAUAAGAAAUUACAAUGAAUGCCUUUCAUAAUUUGACCAGUUAUACUUGGAUGUGUAGGGUCAGCGUUUGUUUCUGGCAUGUCAUGCCUUGGUUUGCUUAUCUUGCCAAUUAAAAAAAUCAUUAAAGUAGUUGUCAAUAUCAGUGAGUUAUGUGAUGAAUGAGCCAUCUAAUUCAAUAAAUAAUGGAGCAGAGUUUGCCUUUUUGCCCCAAAUUUCAUUUCAUGUGUUCCACAGCUUUUUACUUCAUUCUUCAUGUCAUUUAUCUAUGUUUCAUAGUUUAUAAUGUACAGGGAUACUGGAGUGAUGGAGGUAGAUAUGUAUAGGGGGAAGGUGACUAUAUACAGGGUCAGUACCAUAUUAACAAUGUACAGGGAUACUGGAGUGAUGGAGGUAGAUACUGUAUGUAUAGGGGGAAGGUGACUAGGCAUCAGGAUAUAUGAUAAACCAGCUGCAUAAAUUCUGAUUGUACAUGAGUGUGUGUGCGUGUAUAGAGUCAGUAUUAAUGUAUGUGUGUGUGUUGGCAUGUCAAAAUCAAAUCAAAUCAAAGUUUAUUUGUCACGUGCGCCGAAUACAACAGGUGCAGACCUUACAGUGAAAUGCUUACUUACAGGCUCUAACCAAUAGUGGAUAAAGCACUAAAUAAACUUCAGUUAGUGCUAAAUA
Oncorhynchus tshawytscha (Chinook salmon) is the source of this 1016-nucleotide long non-coding RNA. The record is from Ensembl. NCBI's taxonomy places the organism in Eukaryota, Metazoa, Chordata, Actinopteri, Salmoniformes, Salmonidae.